GGCAUGAGCCACCAUGCCUGGCUGACAUGGUCCUUAUUCUUAAGGCAUGGCUUUCUGAUGUCUUAACUGGAUCUCCAGGUGUUAACAAGGCCUCUACACUCUGACUGAGCAAGAACUCCAGUAUCUUCUAGCACUACUUGACUUCUAGUAUUUUUGCUCCACUCUCAACCUCAUAACAGCCCUUCCUGAACAGUCCUUAGAGGUAAAGUGGACACUUCAUCUGCCUUACCAGUGCCCAUGCACGUCCUCAUCUUCCUUACCAAGAGAACCCAGAACUGGUUCAGAGAUCCAGGCCUCCCACCUCAGACUCAUAAGAAGAGAGCUUCUCUUCCUCCUCUGGACGCUGUCCUGUGUGUAGCACUCAGGACUGCUGAAGACAUCUAGGUAACAGCUUGAAGGUGAAACCAGCACUGAGGUUUCCUGAUUCCUGGGUGGAGCGCAGACUGGAGCCUAAGCCCUGACAGCAUGGGACUUGCAGCUCAAGUAUAUCUGUGCUUCACUGGAAGAGUUGAAAGAGCUGGAGACUGUCUGUGAUCAAUGAGCCCCUGUCACUCUCAUGACACUUUCCUGAACCAUUUCACCAGCACUCAGAAGAUGAAGACUGUGCUCUACCUGUUCCUUCUCUGAAGCUAGAAGAUCUGGUGUUUCGACUUUGCCCCAGCCAACUGACCACAUUGAGUGAUGUGCUUAGUUUACACUGAAUACCAAGAGAUGGGUGGGAUUGCUGUGCAUAUAUAUUAGCAGGAUUUUGGCUGGAGGCCACUUGUGACCUCUAUUGAAUGUAACUUCCUCACUCAGGAGUUGAUAUGGAACCACUCACUCCUAUUGGCUCAGUGCCCAGAAGGCCUCAGAGAGAGCCCACAAGAUCAACCCGACAGACCCCGGCUUUCCAAAUAAAGAAACGCACCCCCCCCACCCCAGGGUAGGGGUCUUUGUGGGUCCUGCCUACACCCUCCUAGGAUUGCUUUCAGGGGCUCAGAAAAUUAGCAG
This 990-nucleotide long non-coding RNA is filed under the name Homo sapiens (human). Its description in RNAcentral is "HSALNT0389386". Lineage: Eukaryota; Metazoa; Chordata; Mammalia; Primates; Hominidae. The record is from RNAcentral.